Molecule: long non-coding RNA, 108 nt
Organism: Coregonus clupeaformis (lake whitefish)
Lineage: Eukaryota; Metazoa; Chordata; Actinopteri; Salmoniformes; Salmonidae
Exons: 3
Source: RefSeq, a predicted model, not a curated record
AAUGAUAACAGCAUUGGUCUGAAUGCAGUAAACCACUCCACCCCACCAACCAAUGAUGACAGGAGUCAACCUGCUGACAGAAUCACCUAUGCUUCCAUUGACCACUUC